UAUAGAGAAAGAUUUUAAUGUAUUUAAUAGGAAGUGAAAUUUUGAUUUAUAAGUGUUAUUUAUUUCUUUUUUAUAUGAGUUAGAAGUUAUUAAAGUUUAGGCUUAAAUUAGGAUUAGAUACCCUAUUAUACUAAAUCUGGAUGUGUUUGUAUGCUUGAGUAGUUUUAGUUAUGUUCUUGAAAUUUAAAGAAUUUGGCGGUAUUCAAGUCUGGUUAGAGGAACCUGUCUUUUAAACGAUAUGCCACGUAUUAUCUUACUCUUUCUAGUUUUCAGCUUGUAUACCGCCAUUAUAAUUAGGUAGGGUUUUUAAACAUCUGCUGAAAUAGUUUCUUAGUAAAUUAGGUCAAGGUGCAGCUUAUGAUAGAGCUAACGAUGGGUUACAUUAUGUUUAUAGAUUCGAAUGAAAUUUUGAACAAAGUUUUUGAAGUUGGAUUUAAUUGUAAUUUUAUUUUAAUAUGUUAAGUUGAUACUAGCUCUAGAAUAUGUACAUAUUGCCCGUCGCUCUCAUAA
RNAcentral lists this ribosomal RNA (510 nucleotides) under Onycocaris stradbrokei. RNAcentral describes it as "partial small subunit ribosomal RNA". Lineage: Eukaryota; Metazoa; Arthropoda; Malacostraca; Decapoda; Palaemonidae. The record is from RNAcentral.